UCCCAGCUACUCAGCUACUCGGGAGACCAAGACAUGGAAUAAACUUGACAAGUGCUAAAGAUGCUCUUUGAUUUUUGUGUGGCAUGAGACCUCAGGCUGAAACUUCUCAUCUGAGCCAUUGAAGGGAGCCUCUCAUCUCUCCACCGAGAGGGGAGACCAGAAUGCUCUGUUUCUGGCAGGAAUCUGACACCACUUACUCCUUGGGUAGAAACUCCCCCAAGUCUGAACUAUGUGAUUGCCUGAGCCCUGCUUCUUGUUCAUUAAGACUGCUCCUCUGAAACGGAAUUGAUGAAUUUUUAGUGGCUAUUAGAAGCAUUUGGGAUCCAUAGGCAUCAGGGUUUGAUGCAUGGCCCUCAUCUCUGUGGGCUCCUGUGCAAUGAUUCUCAUCUGUCUUAGUUAGAAAGUGAAUUAAUCUUGACCUUGGCCUCAGGGGUGUGGUUCUCUGCCCUCUUACACAUCUUCAAUUCGCUUCUUUAUCAGAAGCACUUGUUUUAGGCCCAGGCUCCCCCAAUUUUAAUGACAUUUAGACAUUUGUCUUUAAGUU
This is a long non-coding RNA of Homo sapiens (human), 544 nucleotides long. Ensembl annotates it as DARS1 antisense RNA 1. Its record names the gene DARS1-AS1. Lineage: Eukaryota; Metazoa; Chordata; Mammalia; Primates; Hominidae. The record is from Ensembl.